Molecule: ribosomal RNA, 467 nt
Filed under: uncultured bacterium
Lineage: Bacteria
Description: partial 16S ribosomal RNA
Rfam family: Bacterial small subunit ribosomal RNA
Source: RNAcentral
ACGAACGCUGGCGGCGUGCUUAACACAUGCAAGUCGAACGGAAAGGCCCUGCUUUUGUGGGGUGCUCGAGUGGCGAACGGGUGAGUAACACGUGAGUAACCUGCCCUUGACUUUGGGAUAACUUCAGGAAACUGGGGCUAAUACCGGAUAGGAGCUCCUGCUGCAUGGUGGGGGUUGGAAAGUUUCGGCGGUUGGGGAUGGACUCGCGGCUUAUCAGCUUGUUGGUGGGGUAGUGGCUUACCAAGGCUUUGACGGGUAGCCGGCCUGAGAGGGUGACCGGGGACAUUGGGACUGAGAUACGGCCCAGACUCCUACGGGAGGCAGCAGUGGAGAAUAUUGCACAAUGGGCGGAAGCCUGAUGCAGCAACGCCGCGUGCGGGAUAACGGCCUUCGGGUUGUAAACCGCUUUCGCAUGUGACGAAGCGUGAGUGACGGUAAUGGGUAAAGAAGCACCGGCUAACUACGUG